Molecule: ribosomal RNA, 1404 nt
Filed under: uncultured bacterium
Lineage: Bacteria
Description: bacterial SSU rRNA
Rfam family: Bacterial small subunit ribosomal RNA
Source: RNAcentral
UUUGAGCAUGGCUCAGGAACGAACGCUGGCGGCGUGCCUAAUACAUGCAAGUAGAACGCUGAAGAGAGGAGCUUGCUCUUCUUGGAUGAGUUUGCGAACGGGUGAGUAACGCGUAGGUAACCUGCCUUGUAGCGGGGGAUAACUAUUGGAAACGAUAGCUAAUACCGCAUAACAAUAGGUGACACAUGUCAUUUAUUUGAAAGGGGCAAUUGCUCCACUACAAGAUGGACCUGCGUUGUAUUAGCUAGUAGGUGAGGUAACGGCUCACCUAGGCGACGAUACAUAGCCGACCUGAGAGGGUGAUCGGCCAUACUGGGACUGAGACACGGCCCAGACUCCUACGGGAGGCAGCAGUAGGGAAUCUUCGGCAAUGGGGGCAACCCUGACCGAGCAACGCCGCGUGAGUGAAGAAGGUUUUCGGAUCGUAAAGCUCUGUUGUAAGUCAAGAACGAGUGUGAGAGUGGAAAGUUCACACUGUGACGGUAGCUUACCAGAAAGGGACGGCUAACUACGUGCCAGCAGCCGCGGUAAUACGUAGGUCCCGAGCGUUGUCCGGAUUUAUUGGGCGUAAAGCGAGCGCAGGCGGUUUGAUAAGUCUGAAGUUAAAGGCUGUGGCUCAACCAUAGUUCGCUUUGGAAACUGUCAAACUUGAGUGCAGAAGGGGAGAGUGGAAUUCCAUGUGUAGCGGUGAAAUGCGUAGAUAUAUGGAGGAACACCGGUGGCGAAAGCGGCUCUCUGGUCUGUAACUGACGCUGAGGCUCGAAAGCGUGGGGAGCGAACAGGAUUAGAUACCCUGGUAGUCCACGCCGUAAACGAUGAGUGCUAGGUGUUGGAUCCUUUCCGGGAUUCAGUGCCGCAGCUAACGCAUUAAGCACUCCGCCUGGGGAGUACGACCGCAAGGUUGAAACUCAAAGGAAUUGACGGGGGCCCGCACAAGCGGUGGAGCAUGUGGUUUAAUUCGAAGCAACGCGAAGAACCUUACCAGGUCUUGACAUCCCGAUGCUAUUUCUAGAGAUAGAAAGUUACUUCGGUACAUCGGUGACAGGUGGUGCAUGGUUGUCGUCAGCUCGUGUCGUGAGAUGUUGGGUUAAGUCCCGCAACGAGCGCAACCCCUAUUGUUAGUUGCCAUCAUUCAGUUGGGCACUCUAGCGAGGCUGCCGGUAAUAAACCGGAGGAAGGUGGGGAUGACGUCAAAUCAUCAUGCCCCUUAUGACCUGGGCUACACACGUGCUACAAUGGUUGGUACAACGAGUUGCGAGUCGGUGACGGCAAGCUAAUCUCUUAAAGCCAAUCUCAGUUCGGAUUGUAGGCUGCAACUCGCCUACAUGAAGUCGGAAUCGCUAGUAAUCGCGGAUCAGCACGCCGCGGUGAAUACGUUCCCGGGCCUUGUACACACCGCCCGUC